GACGUAGGGUGCAAGCGUUGUCCGGAGUUACUGGGCGUAAAGGGCGCGUAGGCGGUUGCCCGCGUCGCACGUGAAAGCCCCCGGCUCAACCGGGGAGGGUCGUGCGAGACGGGGUAACUGGAGGCAGGGAGAGGCUGGUGGAAUUCCCGGAGUAGUGGUGAAAUGCGUAGAUACCGGGAGGAACACCUGAGGCGAAGGCGGCCAGCUGGCCCUGUCCUGACGCUGAGGCGCGAAGGCUCGGGGAGCGAACGGGAUUAGAAACCCCCGUAGUCC
This 273-nucleotide ribosomal RNA is filed under the name uncultured bacterium. RNAcentral describes it as "partial 16S ribosomal RNA". It matches the Rfam family "Bacterial small subunit ribosomal RNA", at positions 524 to 796 of the family's 1533-position model. The record is from RNAcentral.